Molecule: long non-coding RNA, 541 nt
Filed under: Equus asinus (donkey)
Lineage: Eukaryota; Metazoa; Chordata; Mammalia; Perissodactyla; Equidae
Description: lncRNA (ENSEASG00005025174.1)
Source: RNAcentral
GUAGAAUGUGGCCUCAGGAUUCUCAUUCAGAUUCACAAAAUUGAAACUGGAGGAGGUUAGAGAAAGGAAAACAAAGAAAUCAGAAGAAAUUAAAAUAUAGCAGCUGUUUGCCAACCCUCAGCCAAAAGUUAAUCUUUUCUGAAAGAAUAACAGCUGAUGAGCAAGCGUCAUUCUUGCAGAUCUUUAUGGAACAGAAGGAUUUAAGAGCUUUCAGAUUGAUGAUUUAUUAUAAAGACCAAUUGUUUUAUCACAGUUGUUCCCCAUAAUGGCCCAUCGAGGAAAAUGGAUUUCAUUUUACACGUGAGGAAACUGAGGUUCAGAGAAGUUUACAGGAAAUGCUGGGGCUACAAGAACAAUUAAACACCACCACAAGAAAGCAAUCAGACAAAUCUAGAAUUGGGGACAUUCUGCAAGACAACUGAUGUGGUUUCUUGAAAUAGACAAUGCCAUAACAAGAAAAGAUUCACAGGAAGUAGCAAAAAUAAUACAGACAAGUCUCCUGUAGCCUUCAUCCAGUCUUCCCCCAUGGUUUCAUCUUAUG